AGGACGAACGCUGGCGGCGUGCUUAACACAUGCAAGUCGAGCGGUAAGGCCUUUCGGGGUACACGAGCGGCGAACGGGUGAGUAACACGUGGGCGAUCUGCCCUGCACUUCGGGAUAAGCCUGGGAAACUGGGUCUAAUACCGGAUAUGACCUCAGGUUGCAUGACGUUGGGGUGGAAAGAUUUAUCGGUGCAGGAUGGGCCCGCGGCCUAUCAGCUUGUUGGUGGGUAAUGGCCUAACGAAGGCGACGACGGGUAGCCGACCUGGAGAGGGUGACCGGCCACACCGUGGGACUGAGACGACGGCCAGGACCUCCGUACGGGAGGCAGUCGAGGUGGGGAAUUAGUGACGACG
Molecule: ribosomal RNA, 353 nt
Filed under: uncultured soil bacterium
Lineage: Bacteria
Description: bacterial SSU rRNA
Rfam family: Bacterial small subunit ribosomal RNA
Source: RNAcentral